Molecule: ribosomal RNA, 253 nt
Filed under: uncultured bacterium
Lineage: Bacteria
Description: partial 16S ribosomal RNA
Rfam family: Bacterial small subunit ribosomal RNA
Source: RNAcentral
UACGAAGGGGGCUAGCGUUGUUCGGAAUUACUGGGCGUAAAGCGCGCGCAGGCGGUCUUCCAAGUCAGUGGUGAAAGCCCGGAGCUCAACUCCGGAACUGCCAUUGAAACUGUUAGACUUGAGGAUGAGAGAGGUGAGUGGAAUUCCCAGUGUAGAGGUGAAAUUCGUAGAUAUUCGCAAGAACACCAGUGGCGAAGGCGGCUCACUGGCCCGAUACUGACGCUGAGGUGCGAAAGCGUGGGGAGCAAACAGG